This is a non-coding RNA of Schistosoma mansoni, 46 nucleotides long. The record is from Rfam. Lineage: Eukaryota; Metazoa; Platyhelminthes; Trematoda; Strigeidida; Schistosomatidae.
GCACUGCUGAGGAAUUCCAUAAUAGGACGAAAUGGCCGUCCAGUGC